Molecule: ribosomal RNA, 253 nt
Filed under: uncultured bacterium
Lineage: Bacteria
Description: partial 16S ribosomal RNA
Rfam family: Bacterial small subunit ribosomal RNA
Source: RNAcentral
UACAGAGGGUGCAAGCGUUAAUCGGAAUUACUGGGCGUAAAGCGUGCGUAGAUGGUUUUGUAAGUCGGAUGUGAAAUCCCCGGGCUCAACCUGGGAAUUGCAUUCGAGACUGCAAAGCUAGAGUGCGGUAGAGGGAAGCGGAAUUUCUGGUGUAGCGGUGAAAUGCGUAGAUAUCAGAAGGAACAUCAGUGGCGAAAGCGGCUUCCUGGACCAGCACUGACAUUGAGGUACGAAAGCGUGGGGAGCAAACAGG